This 256-nucleotide ribosomal RNA is filed under the name Escherichia coli. RNAcentral describes it as "partial 23S ribosomal RNA". It matches the Rfam family "Bacterial large subunit ribosomal RNA", at positions 1292 to 1551 of the family's 2925-position model. The record is from RNAcentral. Lineage: Bacteria; Pseudomonadati; Pseudomonadota; Gammaproteobacteria; Enterobacterales; Enterobacteriaceae.
GAAUGCUGACAUAAGUAACGAUAAAGCGGGUGAAAAGCCCGCUCGCCGGAAGACCAAGGGUUCCUGUCCAACGUUAAUCGGGGCAGGGUGAGUCGACCCCUAAGGCGAGGCCGAAAGGCGUAGUCGAUGGGAAACAGGUUAAUAUUCCUGUACUUGGUGUUACUGCGAAGGGGGGACGGAGAAGGCUAUGUUGGCCGGGCGACGGUUGUCCCGGUUUAAGCGUGUAGGCUGGUUUUCCAGGCAAAUCCGGAAAACC